GUCGAGAAUCAUUCACAAUGGGGGAAACCCUGAUGGUGUGACGCCGCGUGGAGGAUGAAGGUCUUCGGAUUGUAAACUCCUGUCAUGUGGGAGUAAAGCCGGGUGUUAAAUGCAUGCCGGUCUGAGAGUACCACAAGAGGAAGGGACGGCUAACUCUGUGCCAGCAGCCGCGGUAAUACAGAGGUCCCAAGCGUUGUUCGGAAUCACUGGGCGUAAAGGGUGCGUAGGCGGCGCGGAAAGUCAGGGGUGAAAUCCCGGAGCUCAACUCCGGAACUGCCUUUGAUACUCCCGAGCUUGAGAACUGGAGGGGAGACCGGAAUUCACGGUGGAGCAGUGAAAUGCGUGGAUAUCGUGAGGAACACUAGUGGCGAAGGCGGGUCUCUGGACAGUAUCUGACGCUGAGGCACGAAGGCCAGGGGAGCGAACGGGAUUAGAUACCCUAGUAGUCC
Molecule: ribosomal RNA, 449 nt
Filed under: uncultured bacterium
Lineage: Bacteria
Description: partial 16S ribosomal RNA
Rfam family: Bacterial small subunit ribosomal RNA
Source: RNAcentral